This 253-nucleotide ribosomal RNA is filed under the name uncultured bacterium. RNAcentral's name for it is "partial 16S ribosomal RNA". It matches the Rfam family "Bacterial small subunit ribosomal RNA", at positions 524 to 776 of the family's 1533-position model. The record is from RNAcentral.
UACGAGUGCCCCGAGCGUUAUCCGGAAUCAUUGGGCGUAAAGGGUGUGUAGGUGGUUCUGUUAGUCUUCAGUUAAAUUCUUCGGCUUAACCGCCGGAGGCCAUCCCAAACUGCCGCGCUGGAGUCGGGCAGAGGGUGCCGGAAUUGCCGGUGUAGUGGUGAAAUGCGUAGAGAUCGGCAGGAAGACCAAGGGGGAAGCCAGGCACCUGGGCCCGUACUGACACUCAUGGACGACCGCGUGGGGAGCGAACCGG